This 253-nucleotide ribosomal RNA is filed under the name uncultured bacterium. Its description in RNAcentral is "partial 16S ribosomal RNA". It matches the Rfam family "Bacterial small subunit ribosomal RNA", at positions 524 to 776 of the family's 1533-position model. The record is from RNAcentral.
UACGGAGGGUGCGAGCGUUGUCCGGAAUUAUUGGGCGUAAAGAGCUCGUAGGCGGUCUGUUGCGUCCGCUGUGAAAACUCGGGGCUUAACCCCGAGCCUGCAGUGGAUACGGGCAGACUAGAGGUAGGUAGGGGAGAAUGGAAUUCCCGGUGUAGCGGUGAAAUGCGCAGAUAUCGGGAGGAACACCGGUGGCGAAGGCGGUUCUCUGGGCCUUACCUGACGCUGAGGAGCGAAAGCGUGGGGAGCGAACAGG